GGAAGGAGAAUAUUGUGUCAGGAAGGGGAUACAAGUUUAGGGGUCUUCCAGGCUACACAGAGGGUCUACCAGAGGGUCUACCAGAUGGUCUACCAGAGGGUCUACCAGAAGGUCCUCACAGAGGGUCUACCAGAGGGUCCUCACAGAGGGUCUACCAGAGGGUCUACCAGAGGGUCCUCACAGAGGGUCUACCAGAGGGUCUACCAGAGGGUCUACCAGAGGGUCCUCACAGAGGGUCUACCAGAGGGUCUACCAGAGGGUCCUCACAGAGGGUCUACCAGAAGGUCCUCACAGAGGGUCUACCAGAGGGUCCUCACAGAGGGUCUACCAGAGGGUCCUCACAGAGGGUCUACCAGAGGGUCUACCAGAGGGUCCUCACAGAGGGUCUACCAGAGGGUCUACCAGAGGGUCCUCACAGAGGGUCUACCAGAGGGUCCUCACAGAGGGUCUACCAGAGGGUCCUCACAGAGGGUCCUCACAGAGGGUCUACCAGAGGGUCCUCACAGAGGGUCUACCAGAGGGUCCUCACAGAGGGUCUACCAGAGGGUCCUCACAGAGGGUCCUCACAGAGGGUCUACCAGAGGGUCCUCACAGAGGGUCUACCAGAGGGUCUACCAGAGGGUCCUCACAGAGGGUCCU
Molecule: long non-coding RNA, 639 nt
Filed under: Salmo salar (Atlantic salmon)
Lineage: Eukaryota; Metazoa; Chordata; Actinopteri; Salmoniformes; Salmonidae
Description: lncRNA (ENSSSAG00000095318.1)
Source: RNAcentral